UCCAAAGAAAAACACAACCUCUCAUGGUUUCUUCUGAUGGUUGUCAUUGGAUGAGUCCAUCCCUCAUGGUUUUCUCCAUGUUGACCAAGGUGCAGCAAGCUUCUCAACCCAACUGUAGGAAGCCACCCUCAUGUGGUAAAGAGGCCUAAUGCAUUGGCUGUCUAGGCUCAUGGCAAGUUUUGGUGGAGCACCUUCUCAUGAGCAACACGCAUAAGUUUGCUGUCUACCAAACUUUUCUAUUAGAACCUAAGCAAGCCACUGAACACAGGAGCAGUAGAUGAAUGUAUGGAAUACUAAUUCCUACGAAGACCUUGGUCAUCUCGUGUGUUUGAUUCAGUGGCCCAGUGGCAUUAAGUGUUAGCACCUGAUCCAGACUGAAUUCCUUUAUAAUACUCUCGUCAUUAGGAUAUACUUUGCAUAACUACUUUCCUAUCCUUUCUGUCUUUUCACUUAUUUUGUGAUCUUGAUCUCCAGAAGAAAGAUAGGAUUCAUAGUUGAACCAGUUAAGAUCAUUGCUUGAGUGGUUUAUUUUAAACCAUAAAGCUACAGUUGAGAAGUAUGUAGCUGUAGCCUUUUGAUAAGAAUGCAUUAAAUAUAGCAUCACACAUGAGUACCACAAAUGAGGUUAGUAGACUAGCUAUGCAAUGGCCCACAUUCAGUGUAAUGUUUUAGUGUCAUUUAGUGCCUCUUAAGUUGCUGUUAUCUGUUGAUCAGUUGCUGUAGUAGGAAAUAAUACUUUUUUAACAAAUGACCCUACCUUUGCUAGUGCUAGGAUAUUUGUAAAAGCCUAAGGGCUUCUUAAAUAUAACAUUUUGGUCUAUUUGGUCUAACCUUAGAAAGAUUAGUAGUUUAUAAUAAAAUAUAUUUGUUCCUGUCAAAACUAGAAUGAACUGGGUUUUCUCCCAAGGACUGAUGAUUCUACUUUGGAUAGAUGAAUUGAUAUUUUCAGUGCAUUCAAAAAUUAUUACUCUGUAGAAAAGCACCCAUUACCACAGGAAAAUGCACUCUUUGGAACUAGCCCGAUAAAUAUCUCCUUUCGUCAUUGUUUUUGAGGCUAAGAUUGAUGGGUGCAUUGUUUAUGCAUUUUAACUGGCCAUCUUAUUUAUAUUUCAGAUUUGAUAAUCUAGGCUGCUAAGUGAUCUCAUCCAUUUUUAAAAAAAACUGGUAGAGUCCAGUGUUUUCUCAGCUAGUCCCUAAGGAAGUUUCUGCUGCAGCGUGGUCCUUUCUUCAAGGUGUGUGGGAUUCAAGGUGGAAAAGAGUAUAGCUGGUAAUGGUGCCUCGGUCAUUCUGCUCAGGGACCUGCCUGUUCCUGCCUUCCUCUCUUCCCUUCCACAGACUAUCUCAGAUAUUUAACUGUGAACUUCUUAUCCUUGCCUAACUCUUGAGGAUUUCCAAGCUUUGGUUGGGGGAUGGAGCAGACAGGAAAAUGGUUGUUCCUUGGUUUAAAUUUUGUCAUUGAUUUACUAAUAACUUUUAGCACUUGUUUGGAUCUUCUUAGAUCUGGAUGCUUACUUUCUUUUUUAGUGCCUUACAUACAAUGCUAAAAACUAGGGAUACUGAAAGGGAAAUGGGUUACAGCAUUCUUGAAUAUAUUCAAAAGGCAUUUUUCACUUACAUUUCUAUCAAAAAGUGAUGUGACUUGUAGCAGUUUUAACUUCAAGUUGGUGGCAAGGGAGGAAGAUUUAUUUAUUUAUUUAUUUAUUUAUUUAUUUAUUUAUUUAUUUAUUUUAAGGAAGGGGGCAAUAAAGAACUGGAGUGCUGAAACAUCUCACACAGCAAACGUUCUGCUAGUGGGUACUAUGAAUCUCUGAUAUCUGAAAGCCCAAAUAUAUUUGAUUUGAAUCCAUUCUAGAGUUCUUUAAUUGAUUGACUGCUCUACCACCUAUGGAGUUUGUCUCAUGUACUUAAAGUACACCUCUGUGCACCAUCUUAUUUCAGGUUUGUCUUGUGUCACUGACUACAUUUGUAAGCCCCUUGAGGGUAAGGAUUGUCUACUGUAGUAAUCCUUUUCUCCUCAGCGCCUAGCACAGUGCUUUGGCAUCUUUGCUGCUUGGUUAAUUGAUCUAGUCAGGUCCUUCUUUGUUUUGGCUUAAACAACAGAAAAUUAUUUCUCACAGUUCUGGAGGCUAGAAAUCCAAUAUCAGGGUACAGGUUUGGUUUCUUUUGAGGCCCCUCUGCUUGGCUUGUGGAUGGCCGUCCUCCUGUGUUCUCACGUGAUUCGGGUCUUUUUUUUUUUUUUAACCAAGUUUUUCUAGUUAACUGCAUUAGUGUUUUCAUCAGCUGUUACAGGUGAAAUACAAUUUGGUAUGAAAAAGGAAAGAGUUCCAGGUGUAUGUUUUAGUAUGCAAAUACUUUUCUAUUUUUAUAUUUACAUGUCAAUGACUUGCUGUCUGAAUUGCUUAUUAUAUUUGAAAUUUAACUGUUGUAUGACCUAAGACUGUUUAGAGAUUUGAAAACCAAACUACAGGGAAUUGCACUAAUAUUCUGAAAUGCAAGGUAAAGAUAUUAGUGAGGUUUUUUUUACUUUUUAACUGAAACAGAAUAUAUCUUUUUAAUUUAGGAAGCACCUUAUGAAUUGGAAACAACUUUUUUCUAAAAUGAUUAUAAUGGAACAUAAAAAUAUUCUCCCAGUGAUGCAUCAUUUGAUUCAAACCGCCAUGUAACUAACUACUGGGGUAUUAUAAGAUUCACUUAAUUCAAACAUAUAUUCAUUUAAUGCACUUUGCAAGUAUUCUUCUGGAAUAGCAUAUGACAAGAAACUGUAUUUGCCCCCAUUACCUUGGGGACAUACACCCAGGGAUACUAACUGAUGGCUAAAAAAGUGGCAUGCAAUUUUGAGAGAGAUUGUUGUUUCUCCAUGUAGACAAGGAGAGAUAUUUGUAGAAGUGAUGCAGCAUUUUACCAGAUUUAUCACUGAACAAUUUAGUCUAGCUGACUUGAUUUAUCUUUCUGUUGAAUUUAACUAGCGGAAUAACUUAUCAGUAUUGGACAGUUGUGUAAAAGUAGUGAAUUACUCAUUAGCUUGCUGGUAAAGAUGGUGCUGUGACAGUUCAAUUAAGGUUUCAUUAACAACUGUCUGCUGUAUUUUAUCUCAAAAUAAGAGUUCCAGUUUACCUGGUAAUGUGAUUGUGGGAUAGCCUGAGAUAAUAUUUGUUGCCACUGAUAGAAUGUUGUUUAUGGGUUAUCAAGAUAUCAUAUAUAAUUUGACCUUCUGUUUGAGACAUUACAGCCUCCAAACACCCACAUGGACAUUUUCAUAAUGCAAAAACAAAACACAAAGCAACCCACAAAUAGUAACUUCAGUCAUUUGGUGAGUAAUAUAAAUCUACUUUUUGUCUGCAGUUCACAUUUGCCAGAGGAAAAUGCUGUGGUUAAAGAUGUAACAACUUUGGGACGAAGAGUUUCAGGGGCUCAUAAUUUUGAGAGAUGGAGGAAGUUGACUGCAUGAGAGUGGUUUGAGGAUCGCUAUGCCUAGACCGUUUUUGACAUUGACAACUUAACAUAUCAGAGAUGGAAUUAAUGGCACAUAUUGCCAUGUUGGUAAAAGUUGAGAAUCUGUAGUACUGAGAAGUUUCUCCACUAUCAGCCGAGAUUAACAGCCACAGCUGGAUUCUUUGGGGGCUCUGCUUUGUGAAAAGAGCUUUGAAGAAGCAGAGCCUGCACCAUAAAAAGGAAACGGUUGCUCUUCUAGACAUAACAAAGCAUCCGUAUGAAACUAGAAAUGUGGAAAUCUGUAUUGUUAAUUUUAACUACAAACGAACUUACUUUUGGAAAUUACAGGUUCAUGAUCAUAAAGUAGAUAAAACAAAGAGUAGAGAAUAAAAGUAACAAUCUGAUGAUUCUGCACCCACUUCUUGGUGGUUGAAACUCUAUAGCCUAUAACAUUGAAAGUCAUUUUGUACUUAGACUCCUGAAAAGAUUAUCCAAAUUAUGUUCAAAAAACCACAGCACAAAAAAUAAACUUGUUUUAUUCUUGGGGAGAAA
Long non-coding RNA from Pongo pygmaeus (Bornean orangutan), 3984 nucleotides. RefSeq lists it as uncharacterized. NCBI's taxonomy places the organism in Eukaryota, Metazoa, Chordata, Mammalia, Primates, Hominidae. The record is from RefSeq and is a predicted model, not a curated record. The transcript has 2 exons.